Molecule: long non-coding RNA, 390 nt
Filed under: Monodelphis domestica (gray short-tailed opossum)
Lineage: Eukaryota; Metazoa; Chordata; Mammalia; Didelphimorphia; Didelphidae
Description: lncRNA (ENSMODG00000048547.1)
Source: RNAcentral
GAAAUAGCAUUUAUAUAAAGAAUUUCCAGCAGACCAGUAGAACUCAGACCUCCUGGGAAGGCUCAUGCCAAGUACAGCUGACCACCCCAAUUGCAAUCAAGACUGAAGAAACAGACUCUUGGAUAUAUUGUGCCCAGAUUCUGGGUUUGCAAGACCAAGGACUGAUAUAGGACCAGUCACUUCUGCAGCAGUUACCCUCGGUCAUUCUUAUGGAAGACAAAUUGCCCAGGUGGUACACGAAAAUGAAAUGGGAUAUUACAUCUCUCUAGAACAGCCGUGUCCAUUAAGAUGAAAAAAUACUGGUUUUACUCUUGGAGAUUACUUUGCCCCUUAAACAUGAUUAUUGUUAUUACUGAGAUUUAGGCCUUAGGCCAUUGGGGAAAACAUCUG